UUUUAACAUUAGGCGUUCGUCGUUUUAACAUUAGGCGUUCGUCGUUUUAACCCAGGGCUUUAUUGUUGUUUCUCCUUCUGCCUUAGUUCGUGUUUGUCACAAACUGGGCUGUGCCUCCGUGACUGCAACCACAUUGUCAAGUUCGCGUUUGUGGAGUUCGUGUCUGCGCUUCCAUCGAAGGUACAUGAUUCCUAUUUGUUGUGAGAGUGAAAUGAUGGGUAGCAGCACCAACUGAGGGCUAUCAUUUACUACUGCUAAUUGGC
Long non-coding RNA from Glycine soja, 263 nucleotides. RefSeq lists it as uncharacterized. The transcript is spliced from 3 exons. The record is from RefSeq and is a predicted model, not a curated record. Lineage: Eukaryota; Viridiplantae; Streptophyta; Magnoliopsida; Fabales; Fabaceae.